Molecule: ribosomal RNA, 253 nt
Filed under: uncultured bacterium
Lineage: Bacteria
Description: partial 16S ribosomal RNA
Rfam family: Bacterial small subunit ribosomal RNA
Source: RNAcentral
UACAGAGGUCUCGAGCGUUGUUCGGAUUCAUUGGGCGUAAAGGGCGCGUAGGCGGCGGGGUAAGUCUGGUGUGAAAUCUCGGAGCUCAACUCCGAAAUUGCACUGGAUACUGCUCUGCUAGAGGGCUGGAGAGGAGAUCGGAAUUCACGGUGUAGCAGUGAAAUGCGUAGAUAUCGUGAGGAAGACCAGUGGCGAAGGCGGAUCUCUGGGCCUUACCUGACGCUCAGGUGCGAAAGCUAGGGGAGCGAACAGG